This 243-nucleotide ribosomal RNA is filed under the name uncultured Eubacteriales bacterium. Its description in RNAcentral is "uncultured Clostridiales bacterium partial 16S ribosomal RNA". It matches the Rfam family "Bacterial small subunit ribosomal RNA", at positions 91 to 334 of the family's 1533-position model. The record is from RNAcentral. Lineage: Bacteria; Bacillati; Bacillota; Clostridia; Eubacteriales.
AUUAGCGGCGGACGGGUGAGUAACACGUGAGUAACCUGCCUUAGACAUUGGGAUAGCCUCGGGAAACCGGGAUUAAUACCAAAUAAAAUCAUAAUGACACAUGUCAUAGCGAUCAAAACUCCGGUGGUCUAAGAUGGACCCGCGUCCCAUUAGCUAGUUGGUAGAGUAAAAGCCUACCAAGGCGACGAUGGGUAGCCGGCCUGAGAGGGUGAACGGCCACAUUGGAACUGAGAGACGGUCCAA